Molecule: non-coding RNA, 240 nt
Organism: Microcebus murinus (gray mouse lemur)
Lineage: Eukaryota; Metazoa; Chordata; Mammalia; Primates; Cheirogaleidae
Source: RefSeq, a predicted model, not a curated record
UUGAAAAUGCAUUAUUUCCACUUCCUAUGAGUCCUAAAAAGAUUCUCCUACCUUCCAGAAUUUGUUCCAGUUGGAUCGUCAAGUUAAGACUUGAGAACUUUACCGUUUCAGUUCUUCAUAAGACCAUCAGAAUGCAGCUGUCUGAACGCGUGGUGGUUUACAAGCUUGUAUACAAGUCACCAUGGUUACCAGGUGUUUGAUGAGCUCUAAGGAGAUACGUGGCUCAAAUAUUUGCACCCA